RNAcentral lists this ribosomal RNA (406 nucleotides) under uncultured bacterium. RNAcentral describes it as "partial 16S ribosomal RNA". It matches the Rfam family "Bacterial small subunit ribosomal RNA", at positions 29 to 526 of the family's 1533-position model. The record is from RNAcentral.
AGUGAACGCUGGCGGCAGGCCUAACACAUGCAAGUCGAGCGAGCGGCGGACGGGUGAGGAAUGUCUGGGAAACUGCCUGAUGGAGGGGGAUAACUACUGGAAACGGUAGCUAAUACCGCAUACCAUCAGAUGUGCCCAUAUGGGCUUAGCUAGUAGGUGGGGUAACGGCGCAACUAGGCGACGCUCCCUAGCUGGUCUGAGAGGAUGACCAGCCACACUGUGACUGAGACACGGUCCAGACUCCUACGUGAGGUAGCAGUGGGGAAUCUUGCACAAUGUGCGAAAGCCUGAUCCAGCCAUGCCGCGUGUGUGAAGAAGGCCUUCGGGUUGUAAAGCACUGUCAGCGGGGAGGCGUUACCCGAAGAGGAAGCACCGGCUAACUCCGUGCCAGCAGCCGCGGUAAUUC